UACGUAGGUGGCAAGCGUUGUUCGGAAUAACUGGGCGUAAAGGAUGCGUAGGCGGUUAAACAAGUUAUAUGUUAAAUAUAUAGGCUUAACCUGUAGAAAGCAUAUAAAACUGUUUAACUAGAGUGCAGGAGAGGUAAGUGGAAUUCCUAGUGUAGCGGUGAAAUGCGUAGAGAUUAGGAAGAACACCAGUGGCGAAGGCGGCUCUCUGGUCUGCAACUGACGCUGAGGCUCGAAAGCAUGGGUAGCGAACAGG
This 253-nucleotide ribosomal RNA is filed under the name uncultured Candidatus Neoarthromitus sp. RNAcentral's name for it is "uncultured Candidatus Arthromitus sp. partial 16S ribosomal RNA". It matches the Rfam family "Bacterial small subunit ribosomal RNA", at positions 524 to 776 of the family's 1533-position model. The record is from RNAcentral. Lineage: Bacteria; Bacillati; Bacillota; Clostridia; Eubacteriales; Clostridiaceae.